AAGAAUGUACAGGGGAGCUCAUAAUGGUGGGCUGAGAGGAAGUCAUCAACUUCGACCCUUCAACCUGAUUUGGAUAAUGCCAACGAAGGGAGUAUGCGCAAAACUUCA
This is a regulatory RNA element of Enterococcus columbae, 108 nucleotides long. It matches the Rfam family "TPP riboswitch aptamer (THI element)". Rfam says of the family: Vitamin B(1) in its active form thiamin pyrophosphate (TPP) is an essential coenzyme that is synthesised by coupling of pyrimidine and thiazole moieties in bacteria. The previously detected thiamin-regulatory element, thi box was extended, resulting in a new, highly conserved RNA secondary structure, the THI element, which is widely distributed in eubacteria and also occurs in some archaea. The record is from Rfam. Lineage: Bacteria; Bacillati; Bacillota; Bacilli; Lactobacillales; Enterococcaceae.